UGGGGUUUACGAAGAAGCUUGAUUUGCUAGGCUGAAACUUUGCCACACUGAUGGCUUCUCUGUAGAGUUUAUUGUUUCCUCGGGGCUCGAUGUGAGGUCCAAUCUGGGAAAGCAAACCAGAAGGACAGAUCAAGUGGCAAGGGAUGUUGGCUGCAGCUUCGAUAUGAAAUCAGCUUCUGGAAUGUUUCUUAGAGCUCUGGUCUAAUGUUUCAUACCCCCAAAGAGCCAUAAUCAUCCUCCAAUCAGAACUCCCUGAAAGUCUUACAACGCAAUCCUACAGACCUGUACCUAAGCAUGACCCCACUAAGCUCAAUCAGACUUACUCACAGAUAUCCUCUCCAGGACUCUGGGACAUUCCAGAAAGAGGUGUAUUUUAUCUGAGAUGAUGUGACGUUUGAAUUGCACACAGGUGGACUCCAUUCAACUAAUUGUGUGACUUCUGAAGGCAGCUCGUUGCACCAGAGCUUAUUUAGGGGUGUCACAG
Molecule: long non-coding RNA, 484 nt
Organism: Elgaria multicarinata webbii
Lineage: Eukaryota; Metazoa; Chordata; Lepidosauria; Squamata; Anguidae
Exons: 3
Source: RefSeq, a predicted model, not a curated record